Long non-coding RNA from Neoarius graeffei (lesser salmon catfish), 3872 nucleotides. RefSeq lists it as uncharacterized. Lineage: Eukaryota; Metazoa; Chordata; Actinopteri; Siluriformes; Ariidae. The transcript is spliced from 4 exons. The record is from RefSeq and is a predicted model, not a curated record.
CUGUUGUGUGUAAAUGCUCCAGGAGAUCAGCAGUUUCUGAUAUACUCAAACCAGCCCUUCAGUGACUUACAUGAUUAAACAACUGGACGAAUGUGAAAGUGUGCAGGUGUUCCAGAGAGAGAGACAGCACAUGUUGUCAUCUGUGUGUCCGUGUAGAACGAUGUCUGCAGCACCAGGUAGUUUGAGAUGUUGGGGAACUCAACAGACGGAUAAUUUUCCAACUCAUAGGAAAAAUACUUCUUUGUUAGCAUAAGAACCAAACAAAAGCUGUGACAAUCAAAAGUUCUGAUUAGCUCUGAAGAUUAUCAAGAAAUCGAACGGGUAAUCAAACUUGAUCAGGAUAAGUGCUAACCGGUGGAGACGGUGGGGACCUCGACUGGCUAUCGUAGCCUGCAGGGAAUCGGCCGUCAGACAUUCUGUCGCAUGUCCCAGACCCGGUGAAAUGUAACUGAAUUGUCUUGGCCAGGCCUAAGGGUCCCAUCUGCAUCUCAUCAUUGCUGAGGAGUGUGCUCCCAUCACCCAAUCUAGCAUCCAGCCAGAGCAGGUCAUGAUAUAUUCUUUUACCAUAUUAACAUGCCAUUGUGUGUCAUGCCUGAUGUAAAGACUCUUGUCUCUGCGAGCCUACCACACAGAUUUAAUACUUGUCAUUUUUAGGGCAUACCUAACAACAUGUUUUCUUUCUCUCUCUCUCUUCCCCCCCCCCAAUCUGUCCCUCUGAGUUACAUGUUGAUCCUGGGAUUGAGAUGCUGGCCUCUUCUGCCCCUCGGACCUGCUUGAUCCAUCCUGGUGCCCUGUGUCUGGUCGGAGUUUUAUCGCCCCACUCCUGUGAAGGACGGCCCCAUGAGGACAGUUGAGGGUUAUACCUGUUAAAACUGUUAAUAUUAUAGUCAGGCUGUCUGUUGUUGCCCAAAUGAGGAUGGGUUCCCUUUUGAGUCUGGUUCCUCUCGAGGUUUCUUCCUCAUGUCGUCUGAGGGAGUUUUUCCUUGCCACCGUCGCCACAGGCUUGCUCAUUGGGGAUAGAUUAGGGAUAAAAUUAGCUCAUGUUUUAAGUCGUUCAAAUUCUGUAAAGCUGCUUUGCGACAAUGUUUAUUGUUAAAAGCGCUGUACAAAUAAACUUGAUUGAAACUUGAUUGAUUAAUUGGUUACAAAGUUUUGCUAUCGUUACCAGAGGUGGACAAAGUACCCAACUUCAUUACUUAAGUCAAAGUACAGAUCCCGCUGGUCAAAUGUUACUCCGAUACAAGUGAAAGUUGUACAGUCAAAUUUUUACUUAAGUUAAAUUCUUUUUUUCGCGGUGCGGUUUCCAUCAAAUCCUGCACACUGAUUGGCUGGCAAGCGGGUCCGUAUCCUACGGUACGGACCCCGGUUACGGACCUCUGGCGACUCGCUCGUUCACAACAACAAACAUAGUAGCAUUUUUUUUGUAAACAUUUCUCUUUUUUUUAUAAGAUUUAUUUAUAAGAUUAUCAAAAAUCUCAUAAAUUUUUGCCAGCAUUUCUCAGGAGAAUAGCAUUAAUUUUAUAGCAUGGAUAGCGAUAAUGAUAGUCUUCACAGCAAAAGAGAGUUUUACUACCCUGAGGAAGAAGAAAUAAAAUAAAACAUUUCAGGAGAAAGCUAAAAACUUCUAACUUGCUAACGCCAAGCAAAAACAUUGCUGACUCCUGAAUGACUCAAUUUUGUAUAAAUAGGGGACUACAUAGGUGGCAAAAUGUAGUUUUUUUUUCCUGCCAUGGAAGUGCACUUGUAUACCGAGGAGAAAGCAAUUUGCAUUACAGCCGUGAAUGAGGAUUCAAAAUGGCUCGGCUCAGUUUUCCCUUUCGGGCGCUCUAGUUUUCUGUUAGAAUUUGGUAAAGAAAAAAAUAAAUAUAUUAUUUACCAGCUUAAGGUCGGUCCGUAUGGUGAAAUACCGUGACCUCGGCCCAGAGGGCCUCAGUCAGUACUUUCAAGACCUCGGUCACCGUAUGGACCUCCCAGCUGGUAAAUAACAUAUAUGUACUGAAGUACUUGCUUUAAAAAAAUACUUAAGUAUUAAAAGUACAUUUUCUGUCAACACAUUGUUGUAUUAUUGUCACAACGCUUACAAAACCUCAUGCCUUUGAAGCAACCUACUGGAUUAUUUUGUGAAUUCACAAAAUGAACACAUGCUGUGCCAUCAUAGUGGUUUAACGUUAAGCUAGCCAGUCAGUGAAGCUCCACCUGACAUGCUAGCAAACUCUUUUCAAACUGAAAGUCAUAUUGGGUAGCUAACAUUACUAGAAAAGAAAGAUUUCUACAUGCUGUUUAUUUGGCAAGAUUACGCUAAAACAUAUUUCUGAAAGUACUUUAGAUAAGUAAACAUUAUUCAUGUUAGUGUAACUCCAUUUUUACAUGCUAACUAACAGUGUCCAAAUUAACUAGCUAUGUGUAAACGUUAGCCGUGGACAAGGCGAUGGCAACUUGGCAGACAAAUCCAUAGAAAGUCACUUGACUAACCAGACUGCAUAGCUAUUGCAAUGUUAUCACUAGCUCUAAAAGCACAGACAACUUCAUUGCAAGCUUUCUCUUGGAAUAAAAUGUUUAUAUACCUCAAUAUGCUUCUGCAGGUUGGACGGCGAGUUUUUGUAGGCCAUGAUGUGGUUCGUUUCCGACAAACAAAGCAAACAUUUAAAAUGAAACGAAUCUUUAAUCCUUUCAGAAACCUGAAACAUGGGUUCAUGGGCCAUGGGUGCAUGCAUUCCCCAGAAGAACCGCCUCCUUCCAUUCUGCCAUCAACUGAUCGUGUUCAAAUAACACUGCUGAGAAAUCAUUGAUCUUGAUUUUAUACAGUCUAUGGACGUGACGUGACACUAGUGAUUACUGAUAGACUGUCUCAGUGUCACCUGCAAAAAAAUUAAUUGCAUUUUAAGAAAGAAAAAAAAAACAUCCACUUUCAAAGCCACUUCAUAAUAACGAGUAACGAGGACCUUGACAGAAAUGUAGUGGAGUAAAAAGUACGAUAUUUGCCUUUCAAAUGUAGUGAAGUUAAAGUCAUAAGUUUAAAAAAAAAAUAAUACUCAAGUAAAGUACAGAUACUCAAAAAGUGUACUUAAGUACAAUACUCAAGUAAAUGUACUUCGGUACUGUCCAACUCUGAUCGUUACACUCGUUCUUACAUUCUUAUACUCGUUCUUGUGUACCUUUGAUAACGCGAGAUCAACUAUUCAUAUCGUGAGAUCACGAUUCGCCGUUCUGGUAAUUGUAAUACUUAUGCGCAUACACACUGCACUAUUGUUACACUCAUUCUUACAACAUGAUGAUAACGCAAGAACAACUGUUCAUAUCGCGCGAUCAUGAUUCACCGUUCUGGUGAUUGUAAUGCCCACGUGCUAUUGUAAUCCUUAUGCGUAUGCACAUGCGCAGUGCGCGAUUGUUACACUCUUACAUUCUUACAGCACAAUCAGUGCGUUUACAUGCACAUAGAGAAAAUCGAAUUUCUGCCGUUGCUCGACUGAAAUCGAAGUUCUAAAUGCCAUGGAAACACCUUAGCUCGGCUGAAAUCGAACCGAACUUGAUUUCUCGUAAUUGAGCUACACGACCUAGAUUAUGCGAUUUUAGCCGAGCUACUUAGUGCAUGUAAACCCUAUCGAGCUACGUAGUCGAGCUACUUACUUCAGCAUUGCCCCUUCUGGAAGUGACGAGUGACGAGACCACAAGCGGGAAACACAACAGCCUCGGUCGGCAUGACAACGGCAUGAAUCUUUUCUUUUUGUGGCAUUGUUUGCACUGUUAAAAUUUAGCUCACUUACUGUAUCACCAAAUACAUCUGUACAGCUGUUGCAUAGCUGUGAAUUGUGUACAUAAACAAGUCAUUCUAUUUGUCUGUGUGUAUGUAUAUAUAUGUCCAACAUCUGAAG